GUAGGUGGCAAGCGUUGUCCGGAAUUAUUGGGCGUAAAGCGCGCGCAGGCGGUUCUUUAAGUCUGAUGUGAAAGCCCACGGCUCAACCGUGGAGGGUCAUUGGAAACUGGAGAACUUGAGUACAGAAGAGGAAAGCGGAAUUCCACGUGUAGCGGUGAAAUGCGUAGAGAUGUGGAGGAACACCAGUGGCGAAGGCGGCUUUCUGGCCUGUAACUGACGCUGAGGCGCGAAAGCGUGGGGAGCAAACAGGGGGUUAGAUACCCUGGUAGUCCACGCCGUAAACGAUGAGUGCUAAGUGUUAGGGGGUUUCCCGCCCCCUUAGUGCUGCAGCUAACGCAUUAAGCACUCCGCCUGGGGAGUACGGCCGCAAGGCUG
This 375-nucleotide ribosomal RNA is filed under the name uncultured organism. RNAcentral describes it as "partial 16S ribosomal RNA". It matches the Rfam family "Bacterial small subunit ribosomal RNA", at positions 527 to 896 of the family's 1533-position model. The record is from RNAcentral.